AAUCAACGCUGGCGGCGUGCCUAACACAUGCAAGUCGCACGAGAAAGGGGCUUCGGCCCUGAGUAAAGUGGCGCACGGGUGAGUAACACGUGAAUUAUCUACCUCCGAGUGGGGAAUAACCUAGAGAAAUCUGGGCUAAUACCGCAUAACACUUACGAGUCAAAGCAGCAAUGCGCUUGGAGAGGAGUUCGCGGCAGAUUAGUUAGUUGGCGGGGUAAUGGCCCACCAAGACGAUGAUCUGUAUCCGGCCUGAGAGGGCGCACGGACACACUGGAACUGAAACACGGUCCAGACUCCUACGGGAGGCAGCAGUGGGGAAUUUUGCGCAAUGGGGGAAACCCUGACGCAGCAACGCCGCGUGGAGGAUGAAGUAUCUCGGUACGUAAACUCCUUUCGAUGGGGAAGAUGAUGACGGUACCCAUAGAAGAAGCCCCGGCUAACUUCGUGCCAGCAGCCGCGGUAAUACGAGGGGGGCAAGCGUUGUUCGGAUUUAUUGGGCGUAAAGGGUGCGUAGGCGGUUUGGCAAGUCUUGUGUGAAAUCUAUGGGCUCAACCCAUAGCCUGCACGAGAAACUACCG
Molecule: ribosomal RNA, 578 nt
Filed under: uncultured bacterium
Lineage: Bacteria
Description: bacterial SSU rRNA
Rfam family: Bacterial small subunit ribosomal RNA
Source: RNAcentral